RNAcentral lists this transfer RNA (63 nucleotides) under Theopompa sp. FY-2016a. Its description in RNAcentral is "tRNA-Thr". It matches the Rfam family "tRNA". From Rfam's summary of the family: Transfer RNA (tRNA) molecules are approximately 80 nucleotides in length. The record is from RNAcentral. Lineage: Eukaryota; Metazoa; Arthropoda; Insecta; Mantodea; Gonypetidae.
GUUUUAAUAGUUUAUCAUAAAACAUUGGUCUUGUAAACCAAAAUCAAGCUUGCUUUUAAAACU